Molecule: ribosomal RNA, 245 nt
Filed under: uncultured bacterium
Lineage: Bacteria
Description: partial small subunit ribosomal RNA
Rfam family: Bacterial small subunit ribosomal RNA
Source: RNAcentral
AGAAUCAACGCUGGCGGCGUGCCUAACACAUGCAAGUCGAACGAGAAAGUGGAGCAAUCCAUGAGUAAAGUGGCGCACGGGUGAGCAACACGUGACUAACCUACCUUUUAGUGGGGGAUAACCUAGGGAAACCUGGGCUAAUACCGCAUAAUACCUACGGGUCAAAGCAGCAAUGCGCUGGAAGAGGGGGUCGCGGUCGAUUAGUUAGUUGGCAGGGUAAUGGCCUACCAAGACUGUGAUCGAUA